Molecule: ribosomal RNA, 873 nt
Filed under: Bacillus licheniformis
Lineage: Bacteria; Bacillati; Bacillota; Bacilli; Caryophanales; Bacillaceae
Description: bacterial SSU rRNA
Rfam family: Bacterial small subunit ribosomal RNA
Source: RNAcentral
CGGCAUUAGGGGCAGCUAUACAUGCAGUCGAGCGGACAGAUGGGAGCUUGCUCCCUGAUGUCAGCGGCGGACGGGUGAGUAACACGUGGGUAACCUGCCUGUAAGACUGGGAUAACUCCGGGAAACCGGGGCUAAUACCGGAUGCUUGAUUGAACCGCAUGGUUCAAUUAUAAAAGGUGGCUUUUAGCUACCACUUACAGAUGGACCCGCGGCGCAUUAGCUAGUUGGUGAGGUAACGGCUCACCAAGGCAACGAUGCGUAGCCGACCUGAGAGGGUGAUCGGCCACACUGGGACUGAGACACGGCCCAGACUCCUACGGGAGGCAGCAGUAGGGAAUCUUCCGCAAUGGACGAAAGUCUGACGGAGCAACGCCGCGUGAGUGAUGAAGGUUUUCGGAUCGUAAAACUCUGUUGUUAGGGAAGAACAAGUACCGUUCGAAUAGGGCGGUACCUUGACGGUACCUAACCAGAAAGCCACGGCUAACUACGUGCCAGCAGCCGCGGUAAUACGUAGGUGGCAAGCGUUGUCCGGAAUUAUUGGGCGUAAAGCGCGCGCAGGCGGUUUCUUAAGUCUGAUGUGAAAGCCCCCGGCUCAACCGGGGAGGGUCAUUGGAAACUGGGGAACUUGAGUGCAGAAGAGGAGAGUGGAAUUCCACGUGUAGCGGUGAAAUGCGUAGAGAUGUGGAGGAACACCACUGGCGAAGGCGACUCUCUGGUCUGUAACUGACGCUGAGGCGCAAAGCGUGGGGAGCGACCAGGAUUAAUUGCCCUGCUUCUCCACGCCGUAAACUAUGAGUGCUAAUGUGAGAUGGAUUCCUCCCUUUGUGAUGCAGUACCACAUUUACAAUCCCCCUGGGGAGGAAGUCGGGGCAU